RNAcentral lists this ribosomal RNA (453 nucleotides) under uncultured Methanolinea sp. RNAcentral describes it as "bacterial SSU rRNA". It matches the Rfam family "Archaeal small subunit ribosomal RNA", at positions 886 to 1338 of the family's 1478-position model. The record is from RNAcentral. Lineage: Archaea; Methanobacteriati; Methanobacteriota; Methanomicrobia; Methanomicrobiales; Methanoregulaceae.
AGGUGGAGCCUGCGGUUUAAUCGGACUCAACGCCGGGAAGCUCACCGGAUAAGACAGCGGAAUGAUAGCCGGGCUGAAGACUCUGCUUGACUAGCUGAGAGGAGGUGCAUGGCCGUCGUCAGUUCGUACUGUGAAGCAUCCUGUUAAGUCAGGCAACGAGCGAGACCCACGCCAACAGUUGCCAGCAUGUCCUCCGGGAUGGUGGGGACACUGUUGGGACCGCCUCUGCUAAAGAGGAGGAAGGAAUGGGCAACGGUAGGUCAGCAUGCCCCGAAUUAUCCGGGCUACACGCGGGCUACAAUGGUCAGGACAAUGGGCAUCAACACCGAAAGGUGAAGGCAAUCUCUUAAACCUGUCCUUAGUUCGGAUUGUGGGCUGCAACUCGCCCACAUGAAGCUGGAAUCUGUAGUAAUCGCGUCUCAAAAUGGCGCGGUGAAUAUGUCCCUGCUCCUU